RNAcentral lists this unclassified non-coding RNA (253 nucleotides) under fungal sp. RNAcentral's name for it is "partial internal transcribed spacer region". The stretch from base 1 to 46 matches the Rfam family "Eukaryotic small subunit ribosomal RNA", at positions 1786 to 1831 of the family's 1831-position model. Lineage: Eukaryota; Fungi. The record is from RNAcentral.
AAGUCGUAACAAGGUUUCCGUAGGUGAACCUGCGGAAGGAUCAUUAACACGUAUCCAACGUUAAACAACCCUGUGAACGCUCUUGUAGCCCACGCGGAACAGCAAUCCCGGUAAAUCAAUUGGAGAAAAUAAGGAUAACGCCUCACGGUUGCCAGAGGUCGAUCAGCCCUCAUUCACACCUUGCCCUAUCUGGCCCCACGGAUACGUUGGGGCACAAACCGAACAACUGUUAACAAUGGAUAUCUUGGUUCUC